GAGCCUCUAGCUCAUGCUUGGUUAGAGCGGCGGGCCCAUAACCGUUGGUACCGUGUUCGACUCACGGGAGGCCCACCA
Molecule: transfer RNA, 78 nt
Filed under: Burkholderia cenocepacia
Lineage: Bacteria; Pseudomonadati; Pseudomonadota; Betaproteobacteria; Burkholderiales; Burkholderiaceae
Description: tRNA-OTHER
Source: RNAcentral